Molecule: ribosomal RNA, 253 nt
Filed under: uncultured bacterium
Lineage: Bacteria
Description: partial 16S ribosomal RNA
Rfam family: Bacterial small subunit ribosomal RNA
Source: RNAcentral
UACAGAGGUCUCAAGCGUUGUUCGGAUUCAUUGGGCGUAAAGGGUGCGUAGGCGGCGCGGUAAGUCGGGUGUGAAAUCUCGGAGCUUAACUCCGAAACUGCAUUCGAUACUGCGGUGCUUGAGGACUGGAGAGGAGACUGGAAUUCAUGGUGUAGCAGUGAAAUGCGUAGAGAUCAUGAGGAAGACCAGUGGCGAAGGCGGGUCUCUGGACAGUUCCUGACGCUGAAGCACGAAGGCCAGGGGAGCAAACGGG